AUUGAACGCUGGCGGCAUGCCUUACACAUGCAAGUCGAACGGCAGCACGGGUGCUUGCACCUGGUGGCGAGUGGCGAACGGGUGAGUAAUACAUCGGAACAUGUCCUGUAGUGGGGGAUAGCCCGGCGAAAGCCGGAUUAAUACCGCAUACGAUCUACGGAUGAAAGCGGGGGACCUUCGGGCCUCGCGCUAUAGGGUUGGCCGAUGGCUGAUUAGCUAGUUGGUGGGGUAAAGGCCUACCAAGGCGACGAUCAGUAGCUGGUCUGAGAGGACGACCAGCCACACUGGGACUGAGACACGGCCCAGACUCCUACGGGAGGCAGCAGUGGGGAAUUUUGGACAAUGGGCGAAAGCCUGAUCCAGCAAUGCCGCGUGUGUGAAGAAGGCCUUCGGGUUGUAAAGCACUUUUGUCCGGAAAGAAAUCCUUGACUCUAAUACAGUCGGGGGAUGACGGUACCGGAAGAAUAAGCACCGGCUAACUACGUG
Molecule: ribosomal RNA, 486 nt
Filed under: uncultured bacterium
Lineage: Bacteria
Description: partial 16S ribosomal RNA
Rfam family: Bacterial small subunit ribosomal RNA
Source: RNAcentral